AACUUCGGGAGAAGGGGUGCUGAUCAUACGAUCAGCCGCAGUGAAUAGGCCCAAGCGACUGUUUAUCAAAAACACAGGUCUCUGCAAAAUCGUAAGAUGAAGUAUAGGGGCUGACGCCUGCCCGGUGCUGGAAGGUUAAGAGGAGUGCUUAGCGCAAGCGAAGGUACGAAUUGAAGCCCCAGUAAACGGCGGCCGUAACUAUAACGGUCCUAAGGUAGCGAAAUUCCUUGUCGGGUAAGUUCCGACCCGCACGAAAGGCGUAACGAUUUGGGCACUGUCUCAACGAGAGACUCGGUGAAAUUUUAGUACCUGUGAAGAUGCAGGUUACCCGCGACAGGACGGAAAGACCCCAUGGAGCUUUACUGUAGUUUGAUAUUGAGUGUCUGUACCGCAUGUACAGGAUAGGUAGGAGCCGUAGAAAUCGGAACGCUAGUUUCGAUGGAGGCGCUGGUGGGAUACUACCCCUGCGUUAUGGCCACUCUAACCCGCACCACUGAUCGUG
RNAcentral lists this ribosomal RNA (502 nucleotides) under Lactobacillus delbrueckii subsp. bulgaricus. RNAcentral describes it as "partial 23S ribosomal RNA". It matches the Rfam family "Bacterial large subunit ribosomal RNA", at positions 1732 to 2243 of the family's 2925-position model. Lineage: Bacteria; Bacillati; Bacillota; Bacilli; Lactobacillales; Lactobacillaceae. The record is from RNAcentral.